This is a long non-coding RNA of Coffea eugenioides, 405 nucleotides long. RefSeq lists it as uncharacterized. The record is from RefSeq and is a predicted model, not a curated record. The transcript has 4 exons. NCBI's taxonomy places the organism in Eukaryota, Viridiplantae, Streptophyta, Magnoliopsida, Gentianales, Rubiaceae.
UCUCUUUUGGCCGAUGAGCUCGAGACCAGGAAAGGUUCCAUCUUUCUCUUUCCUCUUUUCAUUUCUUCCUCUCUUCUUCCCCUCUUUGCUUUUCUUCCACUGGAACAAGCCAACAACAGUCCAACCGUCGAAUGCCCACCUGUUUGAGUUCAAUUUUUUUUUCCCAGAUAUCAUGUCUAUCUGUUGGAUUUAUAUUACAGCAAGAGAAAUGGGACAAAGAAAAACGUAAGCCAUGAAAAGAAGAAGUAGAAAGGGGAAAAAUGGAUCUUCAUCAGAACAUAGGAAGAAGAUGAGAAGAAGAAUAAGCAGAUGAAGAGAAGAGAAUGGAUCUUCAGCCUAAUCGGUGUUGUCCCCGCCGAUUAGUGCUGCUCUCGUACAUAAUCUGGAAAUUUCCUCCACCAUCUU